This is a non-coding RNA of Paramuricea clavata, 350 nucleotides long. NCBI's taxonomy places the organism in Eukaryota, Metazoa, Cnidaria, Anthozoa, Malacalcyonacea, Plexauridae. The record is from the annotation of a GenBank genome assembly.
ACAACUGCAAAACGGCAAAUUAUCGGUAAUUAUGUUUGUAGUUUUUCAAUAUUUCCCUUUUAGCUAAAGUCUUCAAAUUUCUACACCAAAUAGCAUUUUUCAAUAGCUUCAAUUUGAUAUAUAGCCCAACGUUCAGUGUUGAGUAUUUCUGCUCAUAACUCAGAAAAACUAAAAUGCACUGGCUUCAAUUUCCCCCCCUGAGUUAGCCUUCCAGUUUAUUUAUAGUUCAAUGGUUCACCUUCAGUUUGUCUCUAUUCCACCCCUAACCUGCGAACGGGCAUGCUCUGGGUAUGAGAUUGGGCAAUACCCAGAUAUGUUUGAUACAAUACUGAUUUUUGAGAUCAUUAUCA